GACGAACGCUGGCGGCGCGCCUAACACAUGCAAGUCGAGUGAUGAAAGUUGUUCAGAUCCUUCGGGUGACGAACUUCCGGAUUAGCGGCGAACGGGUGAGUAACGCGUGAGGAACCUGCCUCUCACAACGGGAUAGCCUCGGGAAACCGGGAUUAAUACCGUAUGACACUACCAGAUGGCAUCAUCAGAUAGUUAAAGUGCUAGCGGUGAGAGAUGGCCUCGCGUCUGAUUAGUUAGUUGGUGGGGUAACGGCCUACCAAGACGACGAUCAGUAACCGGCCUGAGAGGGUGAACGGUCACAUUGGAACUGAGACACGGUCCAAACUCCUACGGGAGGCAGCAGUGGGGAAUCUUGCACAAUGGGGGAAACCCUGAUGCAGCGACGCCGCGUGAGCGAUGAAGGUUUUCGAAUCGUAAAGCUCUGUCCUAUGGGAAGAUAAUGACGGUACCAUAGGAGGAAGCCCCGGCUAACUACGUGCCAGCAGCCGCGGUAAUACGUAGGGGGCGAGCGUUGUCCGGAAUUACUGGGCGUAAAGGGUUCGCAGGCGGCAUGACAAGUCCGAUGUAAAAGGCGAAAGCUCAACUUUCGUAAGCAUCGGAAACUGUCAAGCUUGAGUGAAGGAGAGGCAAGUGGAAUUCCUAGUGUAGCGGUGGAAUGCGUAGAUAUUAGGAGGAAUACCGGUGGCGAAGGCGACUUGCUGGACUUCAACUGACGCUGAGGAACGAAAGCGUGGGUAGCAAACAGG
RNAcentral lists this ribosomal RNA (746 nucleotides) under uncultured Peptoniphilus sp. RNAcentral describes it as "bacterial SSU rRNA". It matches the Rfam family "Bacterial small subunit ribosomal RNA", at positions 28 to 776 of the family's 1533-position model. The record is from RNAcentral. Lineage: Bacteria; Bacillati; Bacillota; Tissierellia; Tissierellales; Peptoniphilaceae.